This 428-nucleotide ribosomal RNA is filed under the name uncultured archaeon. RNAcentral describes it as "bacterial SSU rRNA". It matches the Rfam family "Archaeal small subunit ribosomal RNA", at positions 474 to 903 of the family's 1478-position model. The record is from RNAcentral.
UACCUGCAGCUCGAGUGGUGAUCGUUAUUAUUGGGCCUAAAACGUCCGUAGCCGGUCUUGUAAAUGCCUGGGUAAAUCGUAUGGCUUAACCAUACGAAUUCCGGGUAGACUGUUAGACUUGAGACCGGGAGAAGCUAGAGGUACUCCUGGGGUGGAGGUGAAAUUCUGUAAUCCUAGGGGGACCACCAGUGGCGAAGGCGUCUAUCUAGAACGGGUCUGACGGUGAGGGACGAAGCCCUGGGGCGCAAACGGGAUUAGAUACCCCGGUAGUCCAGGGUGUAAACGCUGCUUGCUUGAUGUUAGUCUGGCUCCGAGCCAGAUUAGUGUCGGAGAGAAGUUGUUAAGCAAGCUGCCUGGGAAGUACGGCCGCAAGACUGAAACUUAAAGGAAUAGGCGGGGAGCACAGCAACGGGUGGAGCGUGCGGUUU